RNAcentral lists this transfer RNA (76 nucleotides) under Aedoeadaptatus ivorii. RNAcentral describes it as "Peptoniphilus ivorii tRNA-Thr(cgt)". It matches the Rfam family "tRNA". From Rfam's summary of the family: Transfer RNA (tRNA) molecules are approximately 80 nucleotides in length. Their secondary structure includes four short double-helical elements and three loops (D, anti-codon, and T loops). Lineage: Bacteria; Bacillati; Bacillota; Tissierellia; Tissierellales; Peptoniphilaceae. The record is from RNAcentral.
GCUAACGUGGCUCAGGUGGUAGAGCAGCUGAUUCGUAAUCAGCAGGUCAGGAGUUCGAGUCUCCUCGUUAGCUCCA